This 3440-nucleotide long non-coding RNA is filed under the name Sorghum bicolor (sorghum). RNAcentral describes it as "long non-coding RNA (SBIC_LNC013773)". Lineage: Eukaryota; Viridiplantae; Streptophyta; Magnoliopsida; Poales; Poaceae. The record is from RNAcentral.
UAAGGUAAUAUCUUAAGGUACUUGAUUAUCACUUUUAUAAGCUUCUCUUUGGUUUUAGUGUUCACAUGAAUAAAAGAGACAAACAUGUAUGAUUUACAACUCUAGAUUAACCAACCCAAUCGAUUCAAUAUGUUUAGUCCUUCCACCGUUGUGAUCCCACACUCCUAAUCAUAUGAGCUAAAAUGUUGCACACGCAAUCUUUGGAAGAUAUAUAUAAAAAAACAUAAGUAUAGAUAGAUUAUCUUUCCAUUAGGUUGAGCGAUCUGAUCUGACAAAUGAUUUAAAUGCUACACUCAUGAUCUUAUUAUCCAUCAACUUCAUCUUGCUCACUAUGCUUAAGGUUAGAGAAGAGCAAAUACACUUUUGGUUCUGUUGGUGUUUUCCACCAACAGGGCCCAUGCACUUGAUCUCUGCCUUGUCUCUAUGAGCAGGUACACUUCGAGCAAAACAUGGAGGAGUUUUACAGCUUCCAGACUGCACCAAAUGAAGGACCUGGAUCUACGAGCACAAACAUACUGAGCAGGAUGAUGCCAACGCCGCACUUCGAACUGCUGGGCAAACGAAGAACAUGGGUGACACCGUAUCAAGAGGUGCAGACGUCAAGGUCCACACCUGAAUCAAAUGAUGCACCUAAAGAAUGAACAUGGUGAGAAGUCUUGUUCAAAAGACAUAAAACAUUGAACCCUCGCCGAAAGGUAAAAUCGGUAGUUAUCUAUAUUUAUCCUUUCUGCAUUCCCUUUUCCCUUAAAUUAUUUACUUUCAUUAAAUGGCUUGUUAGUUAAUCAUGCUAUCUUGAAAAGAAAAUAAAACUGUUAAAAAAAGGUAAGCCCCAUGUGAGUAUGCUCAUGGCAUAAAACCCAUAAGUACAUUCAAUGUGGUGGCGAAAAAAUAAAAUAAAUAUACUCCUGUCCUAUAAAAAUGAAAAUAUAAAAAUAAGAUUAUGAUCCUACUAAAGAGAGUAACAUUUAUUGAGGAGGCUCAACAUGAUAAAGGCUAGAUAUUUAUGUUAACACUUAACUAGUUCCACAAAGCUUUGUUUUGUCUAUUUGAGCUCCACAGAAUUCAAGGAUCAAAGAAGACUAGCAGACGGAGGACAUCCUAAUCGCUGUUAGAGUGCUGCCAACAUUCAAAUACACCUCCGCCACUUGCUAGCUACAUCAGAAGAAAUUACGUCAAAAUCCAGCUUGGGGGAGAGCACCCCCAUUUAUCCAGCUAAGUGUUCUACUCACGUUUAUACUUUACUCAAAUAAUAAAAAGAUGCAUAAUCAUAAAAACCCAAAUAAAGAUUUUGUGCUUAUAUAUAUAUAUAUAUAUAUAUAUAUAUAUCUUUGCUUAGUUUGCUAAAUAAAUACAUAAAUAAAUAAAUAAAGUUUGCUAUGAACCCUCAUGAUAAGCUCUCACAUGGAAAUGAUGAAUAGUUGCUCUACCAUGACUAGUUUUCAAAAUUGAAAUCUCUCUCAAGUUUAGGCAUGACUGUUAUUAAUUAAGAUUUUCUCUAAACCUGAACUUGUGGGAAGAGUACUUGAUCUAAAGUCUAAGUCGUUAACGGAUAUGAUAUGGGAAGGUUGAGCUGCUGUUUAUCUGUUCCUAGAGAUGCUAGAAUUCUGGAGAAUUUUAUGUUUGAAAAUCUUUAAAAUGUUGUAUGAUGAGUUCCUGUAUGAUGAGAGUUUAAAAUCCUACCACAACCAUAUAUACAUGCUUAUUAGACUAUGAACCAUACAUUUAAUUUUUACUGCUUAUGAGAAUUGAGUGUGGUCAAGUUGUGUAGACCCUUAGGAGCUUGUCAUGCGGUUAAAAUCAAGAUUCACUUGCCGUUCACUCAUGCAUGGUGCUUCUACUCCGGAAGUACGCAUCCACAUACAUCCACUCAUUUCCAUAUCUAGAUUCACCCAAAAUUAAUCUACUCCUAUCUAGGAGAGAAUAGCCAAAAACUUUAUCCUAUCCCUGUUAUUUUCCGUGAAAUAAAUGCUCAAGAUCUUUUGGUUACUACCACUUGCUAUAUUAUUCCAGGAGGGUGAGUGCUCUGAAAAAAAGUGAAUACGAGGAAAUAAAAAGGGGCAACUGCCCAAAACCUCGAAAAAAAAGAAAAGAAAAAGUGAGACGAGAGGUAAAAAUGGACAAGUGUCCGACAGUAGAAUUAGGGGUACAAGAUACCCAUCUGAGAGAAAAGAAAAAUAAAAUAUAGAGCAUCUCAUUCCCCUCAAAAGCCUCAAGUGCAAGGAAGGUAUGUACCCCCUCAAAAGAGCAAAAGUAGAAUUAGACUUUCACCAUUAUUUUCACCAUUAUCACCAUUCAUUCGCCACACAUGCACAUCUUGAUUUGACUUAUUGACUUAUUCUUCUAGAUCCAUGGUUUGACUAUGCAAUAAAUGUCUUGUAAGUAUGUAUUAGCUGUCUCCCACCUAUGAGCUCCAGAUAUCAAAACCUUAUUAGAGUAGGGUGAGAGAGAAGGCAAUGCCACUAUGCCUCAUACCAAAAAUACCAUAUACUUUGAGACAAGGCAUACACCUUUACUGCCUUGGUAAGGAUCCAGAAAUACCACAAAAGAGAGACUAGAGAGAGUCAUACAAGGAAUCUCUGAGUUUUAUUUGAAAAUCUGCAAAAACUCCAGAGCUAUAGUUAAUCGAAGAACAAGAGACAUGACGCUUGACCAGACCGUCUAUCUUUUAACUGCUCAAGACACAAGUGACAGUUGCAAGCCCCAUAGUGAAAGGAAAAAUGAGUAAGUUUAAAUCUUAACAGUUUACCCUAACCCAGGGAUGAGAUCUUGUUUGAACGCAUGUGUACCUUUAAGGCAUGAAACCACUGCAGAAACUUUUGAGUCCAUCCUUGCUGAGGGAUGAGCAAAGGUUAAGCUUGGGGGAGCUUGUUGACGGUCCUUAAUGCUCACAUUUAACCAUCAACUAAUCACGGAAAAGGAUCCAAAUGCAACCGACACCUAGAAUUAGAGUUUUAUCUGACAGAAUUCCACGAGUUUUGGUGUUUGUCUAUUUCUGCAGGGGGUUAUCAGGAAAUAUGGAGGAAAUGCCCACACAUUGGGUUUACAUAGAGAUAUUAAUGUGUGCGCCAAUUUUCUAUCAUCUAGAAGACUCCAGAAGCCACGGGAACAAACAGGAGGCCGAGCGGGCCCGGGGGCAGGGCGCCCGCCCUGCCAUGGUGACCAAUCAGGGCAGGUCUCGCGGAUCGUGCUCCACCGCCUUUGAGGAUCAAGAAUAACCGUGCAAUUAAGGUCGGUUUGAUCCGAAGGCCCAUAUUCAUUUGGAGGGGCCAUAUAAGCUGGCCCCCUUGGCCCCUGGAGGCAUACCUCUUCUACAGAGUCAAAGCUAGGGUUUUAAUUAUUCAUCCAAGUAGAGAGGAUCCCUCUAGUACAUCUAGUUCUAGUUCUAGUUUAUCUAGUUCUAGUUCUAGUUAGUUCUAGUUGUAAUCUAGAAAAUAGAGAGA